AGGGGGAAGUCGAACCAGCGCCCUGCAGUACUCGUCAAUGGGCUUCAGCCUCUUCACAGCUACAUCUCGGACGUGGCUCCUUCGGAACAGGAUCUUACCUGGAAGAAAAGGGAUGAUUCUUUGCUUGGGGUCUUUCUGGCCUCCUUCAAUGGGGAACUUGUCCAGAAGCUGCAUCUGCAGGUCAAAGAACUUGCUGUAUCUCCGGUAGAUGAUCUGGGAGGUCAGGUCUGACCAUGUUACAUUGAUGAUAUAGACGUAGUGCUUCGAGGGGUUCCUUCUCUUCUCCACGUCCACCACGUUGGCGUCCAGCACGCUGUAGGACAGCAUCUUCGCGCACCCCGCGGCUCCCUCCCGGCGCUGGCAGCACCCUCCGCCGCGCUGCCCGCCGCGGCGAUGCCGGCCGGCGCGGCGGGCGGGAGCGAGCGAGGGAGGACGCCCCGCCGCCGGCUCCGCCCCGUCCGCG
This 463-nucleotide long non-coding RNA is filed under the name Gallus gallus (chicken). The record is from RNAcentral. Lineage: Eukaryota; Metazoa; Chordata; Aves; Galliformes; Phasianidae.